This 497-nucleotide ribosomal RNA is filed under the name uncultured bacterium. Its description in RNAcentral is "partial 16S ribosomal RNA". It matches the Rfam family "Bacterial small subunit ribosomal RNA", at positions 28 to 507 of the family's 1533-position model. The record is from RNAcentral.
GAUGAACGCUGGCGGCGUGCCUAGUACAUGCAAGUCGAGCGAACAGACGAGGAGCUUGCUCCUCUGACGUUAGCGGCGGACGGGUGAGUAACACGUGGAUAACCUACCUAUAAGACUGGGAUAACUUCGGGAAACCGGAGCUAAUACCGGAUAAUAUAUUGAACCGCAUGGUUCAAUAGUGAAAGACGGUUUUGCUGUCACUUAUAGAUGGAUCCGCGCCGCAUUAGCUAGUUGGUAAGGUAACGGCUUACCAAGGCAACGAUGCGUAGCCGACCUGAGAGGGUGAUCGGCCACACUGGAACUGAGACACGGUCCAGACUCCUACGGGAGGCAGCAGUAGGGAAUCUUCCGCAAUGGGCGAAAGCCUGACGGAGCAACGCCGCGUGAGUGAUGAAGGUCUUCGGAUCGUAAAACUCUGUUAUUAGGGAAGAACAAAUGUGUAAGUAACUAUGCACGUCUUGACGGUACCUAAUCAGAAUGCCACGGCUAACUACGUG